RNAcentral lists this ribosomal RNA (626 nucleotides) under uncultured bacterium. RNAcentral describes it as "bacterial SSU rRNA". It matches the Rfam family "Bacterial small subunit ribosomal RNA", at positions 93 to 735 of the family's 1533-position model. The record is from RNAcentral.
GAGUGGCGAACGGGAGAGUAACGCGUGAGGAACCUGCCUCAAAGAGGGGGACAACANUUGGAAACGACUGCUAAUACCGCAUAAGCCCACGACCCGGCAUCGGGUAGAGGGAUAAGGAGCAAUCCGCUUUGAGAUGGCCUCGCGUCCGAUUAGCUAGUUGGUGAGGUAACGGCCCACCAAGGCGACGAUCGGUAGCCGGACUGAGAGGUUGAACGGCCACAUUGGGACUGAGACACGGCCCAGACUCCUACGGGAGGCAGCAGUGGGGAAUAUUGCACAAUGGGGGAAACCCUGAUGCAGCGACGCCGCGUGGAGGAAGAAGGUCUUCGGAUUGUAAACUCCUGUUGUUGAGGAAGAUAAUGACGGUACUCAACAAGGAAGUGACGGCUAACUACGUGCCAGCAGCCGCGGUAAAACGUAGGUCACAAGCGUUGUCCGGAAUUACUGGGUGUAAAGGGAGCGCAGGNNGGAAGACAAGUUGGAAGUGAAAUCCAUGGNNUCAACCCAUGAACUGCUUUCAAAACUGUUUUUCUUGAGUAGUGCAGAGGUAGGCGGAAUUCCCGGUGUAGCGGUGNAAUGCGUAGAUAUCGGGAGGAACACCAGUGNCGAAGGCGGCCUACUGCGCU